Long non-coding RNA from Gekko japonicus, 1133 nucleotides. RefSeq lists it as uncharacterized. NCBI's taxonomy places the organism in Eukaryota, Metazoa, Chordata, Lepidosauria, Squamata, Gekkonidae. The record is from RefSeq and is a predicted model, not a curated record. The transcript is spliced from 3 exons.
AAGAGCUUUCGUGAGUCACGGCUCACUUCUUCAGAUACAGCUAGAAUGGGAGUCCAUCUGCCUUUAUAGCUUGAUCUGUCUCCUUAAUGCAGUUUUGGUCAUUGUAGACAUACCAUUUAAUAUCAGUAUUCCAUGUGAUGAGCCUCACACAAUCAGCCUUAACAUCAGAUUUGGAGAUGUAAAUAAUGGGGAAAAAUGACUUACGGUUUUCUAAACUAUUUCCAAACUGGUCUGGGAGUAUAAAUAAGUCUGUUGUCAACAAAACCUGAUAAAGGAACAGAUUGAGAUGGAUCUUUACCUGGAAACCUUUUGUUCUGAUUUUUUUUUGCUACAGGUAUACUGCCUCUGGCCAGAGAGGUUCUAUUUAGCUCUCAUGGCUAGUAGCCCAUUGCUUGAUCUGUCCAACAUUACCCACUCUGGCAUAAAGAGAAUAAUUUAAAUGUCUUCUUUCUUCCAUGGAGGAACAUGAAGUUCUGCCCUUCCUUUGCAGUCUAAGUGCUGCUUUCUUCCAUAAUAUCUACUCAAUUUUCCUUCUGGCUGUACAAGUAGGAACAUCCUGUUUUGAGUUGUACUCCGGGAUCUAUAGUUGGGUUGGACUGUCUUCCCACCUGAACAGCUGAGAAUGCCAGAGUCUUUGCACCACUGGAGGGAGUCCUCUUGCGUAGGCGGCUGGUUUUGCAGUUGCUCGGAUCUCCCAAGGGACUCAUUCUGACUAUGGAAGCAAGGAAUCCAGACACACGACAGUUCUAUGAGGAUGCAACAAGAUGCAGCACUACUGAAUGCCGGGGCUGGGCCCCUGUGCUAGAAGUGACUUCAGCCAAGUAUCAGUCCACAGUUCUCAAACACUGGAGCGUGAGAAGGGCACAACCUGCAAGCAUUUUCCUUGCUUGCUAUUUAUAUAAUUUAAGAUUCUCACUUUGACCAAGCAAGCAGAUUGUUCUAUCUGAUCUACACCUGCAAAGGAUAGUGGGAUGUGGGAUGGACACACCCAGCACUGGGAUGCUGCUGUACUCUAUGUGUGCUGCUGAAGUCACAAAUGGAGCUGUCAACUCUGAACUGGGAAUCAGUUGCCUCAAUUAUACCCUGUAGAUGGGAUCUCCCAGCUGUUUUCCAAAAUGGAUCACACCAUGAAA